CAACAAUUAGAUGCAUUUAUUUUCUUUAUUUCUCUGUGUCUUUUAGUAAUCACUUCUUCUUCAGAGUCUCCACCAAUCCAAUGUCCGACGAAACCUUAACGAAAUCAAGACAAAAAGAAGUCUUUUUCUGUUUAUCAAAACAGUUCAUUCUUUUCUCAAAGCCGAUCGAUCUACUCUUCUAAAGUUCAGCCAUCACCUGAGAAUCUUUCAAGACAUACAAUCGAAAAGUAAUCAUUCUAGACGUGUGAAUGGUAAAGUAUCUAUUUCUCCAUUCUUAUUUUGAGAAUUCCGAAUUAUUAAAACACAAGACAGUUCUAAUCUCUGGGUUUUUUUUUUUGCAAUCCUUUGGGAACUCAACUGAGUUUAAAUAAGAGCAAAUAUGUUGAGCAAAUUAUAAAUUCACCCAAUACUAAGUUCACAGAGUUUGAGUUCCCCUUAUACAUGAUCGGAUGCUUCUUCAGGACUCAAUUGUUGUCCCUGCAGUAUUUGAUCUAGAUUGCAUAAGAGAGAUGCCACUCAGAUAACAUGGCGAAUGCGGAGUAGUACAUAUGGCUGUGAUUGGUUCAUGGAAGUUAUAUGUCUAACUUCAUCGUAUGAGAGGAGAGUACUCCUCUAUGUAAAUUUAAAUUUUAAUAUAAGGUAAUGUUGAUAGAGAA
Long non-coding RNA from Brassica oleracea var. oleracea, 656 nucleotides. RefSeq lists it as uncharacterized. The record is from RefSeq and is a predicted model, not a curated record. The transcript is spliced from 4 exons. Lineage: Eukaryota; Viridiplantae; Streptophyta; Magnoliopsida; Brassicales; Brassicaceae.